GCACAAGCGGUGGAGCAUGUGGUUUAAUUCGACGCAACGCGAAGAACCUUACCUGGGCUUGACAUGUUCCUGACCGCCGUGGAAACACGGUUUCCCUUCGGGGCAGGAUCACAGGUGGUGCAUGGCUGUCGUCAGCUCGUGUCGUGAGAUGUUGGGUUAAGUCCCGCAACGAGCGCAACCCUCGCCUUUAGUUGCCAUCAUUCAGUUGGGCACUCUAGAGGGACCGCCGGCGACAAGCCAGAGGAAGGUGGGGAUGACGUCAAGUCCUCAUGGCCCUUACACCCUGGGCUACACACGUGCUACAAUGGCGGUGACAGUGGGCAGCUACUUCGCGAGAAGCGGCUAAUCCCAAAAAACCGCCCCAGUUCAGAUUGUACUCUGCAACUCGAGUACAUGAAGGUGGAAUCGCUAGUAAUCGCAGAACAGCAGGCUGCGGUGAAUACGUUCCCGGGC
Molecule: ribosomal RNA, 453 nt
Filed under: uncultured bacterium
Lineage: Bacteria
Description: bacterial SSU rRNA
Rfam family: Bacterial small subunit ribosomal RNA
Source: RNAcentral